RNAcentral lists this long non-coding RNA (695 nucleotides) under Equus asinus (donkey). Its description in RNAcentral is "lncRNA (ENSEASG00005031948.1)". The record is from RNAcentral. Lineage: Eukaryota; Metazoa; Chordata; Mammalia; Perissodactyla; Equidae.
GUUGCUUCCUCUUUGUUCUUCAGUUCUGCCUGCCCCUGCCCCUGCCCCUGGGAAGCACCAGAGAACAGACCCUGUGGCUGCUGUCCCUUCGAGGGGAGCUGGUGGCUUCUCUGCAAGAUGCCAGCCUGAUGGGACUGCAUGUGGACAUCAACACCGUCACUAUCACCAUCCCAAAUCCAAGGGUAGCCCCAUGGGACGACAGCCAUCAGGCACAGGAUGCACCCUGCCAUGUGCACCAAAUCCUCGCUGCCCCACAGCCAUGCCAGGAGGCCCGAGGAGCCCCAGGAAUGCAGGCUCUCUUUAGGGUGGCCCAGAGCCUGGAAUUUACCAAAAUGGCCGUCCCCACCGUCCUCUUCUUCCAGUGGCGGGUUCGGGAAGGGAGUUGCCUGUCUCAGUGGCUAUGCCGAGGACCAUUCCAUCCCACCAUCCCCAGGACCAGAGACCCCUCCAGCAGGACGCCAUCUGCUGCCUCUUCCCAGUUCCAGGCUGCAGGAUCAGCUGCCUCGGGAGCCUCCGGGAAGGGCUUUCUCAGAGCUGCGCUCGCCAGCCUUUCGAUGGGCUGGCCAAUGCAAGUCCGCCUGUGGUUUCCUCUGAAGGGCCCAUCCCAAGAGGCCUUGGAGGACCCUCUUACCCCCAUUCUUCCAGAGGGAACCCCGCUCUGACCUCUGGCCAUGUCUCCUCCUCCUCCAAUUCAG